Molecule: ribosomal RNA, 244 nt
Filed under: uncultured bacterium
Lineage: Bacteria
Description: partial 16S ribosomal RNA
Rfam family: Bacterial small subunit ribosomal RNA
Source: RNAcentral
CUUGCCCUAGGGACGCAGCAGUAGGGAAUCUUCCACAAUGGACGAAAGUCUGAUGGAGCAACGCCGCGUGAGUGAAGAAGGGUUUCGGCUCGUAAAGCUCUGUUGGUAGUGAAGAAAGAUAGAGGUAGUAACUGGCCUUUAUUUGACGGUAAUUACUUAGAAAGUCACGGCUAACUACGUGCCAGCAGCCGCGGUAAUACGUAGGUGGCAAGCGUUGUCCGGAUUUUUUGGGCGUAAAGCGAGU